RNAcentral lists this ribosomal RNA (503 nucleotides) under uncultured bacterium. Its description in RNAcentral is "partial 16S ribosomal RNA". It matches the Rfam family "Bacterial small subunit ribosomal RNA", at positions 30 to 523 of the family's 1533-position model. The record is from RNAcentral.
AUUGAACGCUGGCGGCAGGCUUAACACAUGCAAGUCGAGCGGGGUGAUGGUGCUUGCACUAUCACUUAGCGGCGGACGGGUGAGUAAUGCUUAGGAAUCUGCCUAUUAGUGGGGGACAACAUCUCGAAAGGGAUGCUAAUACCGCAUACGUCCUACGGGAGAAAGCAGGGGAUCACUUGUGACCUUGCGCUAAUAGAUGAGCCUAAGUCGGAUUAGCUAGUUGGUGGGGUAAAGCCCUACCAAGGCGAGGAUCUGUAGCGGGUCUGAGAGGAUGAUCCGCCACACUGGGACUGAGACACGGCCCAGACUCCUACGGGAGGCAGCAGUGGGGAAUAUUGGACAAUGGGGGGAACCCUGAUCCAGCCAUGCCGCGUGUGUGAAGAAGGCCUUAUGGUUGUAAAGCACUUUAAGCGAGGAGGAGGCUCUUUUGGUUAAUACCCAAGAUGAGUGGACGUUACUCGCAGAAUAAGCACCGGCUAACUCUGUGCCAGCAGCCGCCGUAA